This 1995-nucleotide long non-coding RNA is filed under the name Homo sapiens (human). RNAcentral describes it as "HSALNT0292832". Lineage: Eukaryota; Metazoa; Chordata; Mammalia; Primates; Hominidae. The record is from RNAcentral.
UUUUGGAAACGUUUCAAUUGCUGGCUUGACGGUUGGGGCGCUGACGCGGGAGGGCGGGCAGGGCCGUGGGGCGCGCGCGGGAAGGGACUUGUGGGAAGGAAGGGAGCGGAAAGGCCGAGCGCCACCCGCCCCGGGAGUCUCCAGAGCAGCGCGCGGGGCAGACCUCCUCGGGUCCUCCGGCGCUUCGGUCUCCGGAGACGCCCGGCCUCCUGAAGGGUUCGGCUUGUCCUCCUCUGGCGCUCAGCUCCCUCUGGCGGCCGGGCUGGCAGGACCUCAGCGCCCAGCCCUUCCGUCUUGUUACGUCCAGGGUCUCACUCUGUGUCUCAGGCUGGAGUACAGUGGUGCAAUUGUAGAUGGCUGCAGCCCUCGACCUCCUGGGCUCAAGUGAUCCUCCUGCCUUAGCCUCUCGAGUAGCUGGGAGUACAGAUGCACACCACCACACCCAGCCUAGAAUGAAGAAACCUGCAGUUGGGAAGCAUGAAUUUACCACCUAUUAAGAUCUGGCUGCUGUGUGGAGAAAGAGUGAAGAUACGGAAGUUGGAGGUUCUCGUAGCAAUGCAGAAUUGUGGCUUGCAUUGUAAGAGGAGCCUGUGAAUUCAGAGGCAAGUCUGCUGAGGACCGAAUGUUCCUGUCCAUAAAAACAGAAGUCUGGCCUGGGCUCCUCUCUUGGGUGAAUUUGCAAUGCCAGAUCCUCUCUAUCAGUUUGGUUUUGUUUCUUGUAUCUCUGGGAAGGCAGGCAGACAGCACGGUCACCUGUGAAUGCAGCUACAAUUGGCUUAGCUGCCUCACUGAUAAAUGUGCCCCCAGUAAGCUACAAAGGGAUUACCAGCGUUCUCAGCAGCUAAAGGAACUGGUGAAGAUUUCCCCAGCAAAAAGUAGAAGCUCAGUGUUUCAUAGAUGAAGACUGGGGAGAUUGCAAAAGACCCAUCCAGCAGUGGUUCUCAGACCUCAGUGUGCAUCAGAAUCACCUGGAAGGCUUGUGAAAACACGUAUUGCUGGGCCACACCCCCAGAAUUUCUGGAUCAGUAAAGCUGGGAUUCUUACUUUGAGUAGCCAACUUGCAGAAUACAAUAGAAUUUUGGGAGGAGCCCCUCGAUGCCUGGCUUUACUGUUGGAGAGACAGUACAGUAUACACCAGAUGACUUAUUUGUGAACCAUGGAAACGUUUGGAAAAGAGUCUCACUUUGUCGCCCAGGCUGGAGUACAGUGGUGCGAUCUUGGCUCUCUGCAACCUCUGCCUCCCAGGUUCAAGUAAUUCUCCUGCCUCAGCCUCCCGAGUAGCUGGUACUACAGGCACACAUUUGUAGAGAUGGUGUUUCCCCAUGUCAUCCAGGCUGGUCUGGAACUCCUGGGAUCAAGUAAUCCACCCGCCUCGGCCUCCCAAAGUGCUGGGAUUACAGACGUGAGCCACCACGCCCUGCCAAUAAAAAGAUUAUCUCCAGAUGCUGGAAUGACCAGUAAUUUAUUUUCUUCCUUUUUUUUUGUCUGCACUUUCUACCAUAAUCAUAUGUUAGCUUCUUACUAAGAAGAAAAGUCAAUGUUAUUUCCCUGAAAAAGUAAUGUUGUUUGGUUAUUAAACAAAUUUAAUUUUCUAAACAAGAGUACGACAGGUAAACUGCCUACCUUAAAAGCAAACGAACACAAAUAAAUAAACUAACCAUCUUCCACUUCAGUCUCUGUCCUUUCACCAGAGUUGCUGAUCAGCCCAGAAUGGACUGAUUUGAAUUUGCUUAGUUGUUCAUUCAUUCAUUUAUUUAACAAGUAUUUAUUAAGCACUUGCUCUGUAGAAAGCACUGUGCUGGUAUUGGAAUACUGGCUUAUGUAAGUGUGAUAGUAAUGGGAUUCUGACUUAGGCCUGACUCCUGGGCCGUAAUGUUUGGAUACUAUGUAUACAUCUAACUAUAAAACGAGGGAAAAUGAAAAAAAGAGCAAAAAUGAUUUGAGGGGGGAUGGUCUCCAUUUCCUAUUACCUAUUUAUAUGUAGAUCAUCUUGGG